RNAcentral lists this transfer RNA (68 nucleotides) under Marmota monax (woodchuck). Its description in RNAcentral is "tRNA.Asp". The record is from RNAcentral. Lineage: Eukaryota; Metazoa; Chordata; Mammalia; Rodentia; Sciuridae.
GGGGUGGGCUCAGCGGUAGAGUGCUCCCUAUCACGUGCGAGGCCCUGGGUUCAAUCCUCAGCACCACA